CGGGCUCCCCCUCCCCCACCUCACGCAGGAGCCACAGGCGAGGGAGGGCUGAGGGUGGCUGCCACUCUGCUGAGGGUGGCUCCAGGGCGGGGGAGCUGCCUGAUGGGGCUGGAGCCCAGUGGGCUGAGGGCUACUGAGCAGGAGGCUGAACACAUUCCCAGGGGCUCCAGGGGCUGGGCCGGGGUACUGCAAGCAGCACCCCCCCGCCUCCCAGCAGUAUGGCCCAGACCCCAGCCCCUCACAGGGCCUAAUCUGCUUCAGGAGCAAGCGAGCUGCCAUCCCGCAAAGCCCUCAGCACUGCUCCAGGCUGCUGCUCCCCCUGGACUCUGCCCCCUGUGGAAGACACGUUGACCCCACCCUGUGUCUGUUUGUGGAGCCCCAAAGAUCAGCUAGGCCACCCCCUCAAUAAUCAGUUGGGGAAAAAGGCCAAAAGUCAGCCCAGGACCCCAGCGAGUCAUGUGGAGCUGCCAGUCUAGCCGGGAGGGAAGCUGGGACGCUUUUCAGUGCAAAGUAGGUCUUUCCCAGCGGUGGAAGAGCAGACCCGUGCGCGUGCUCUGCGGCAGGGACCUGAGGAAGUGCCUGUGGCCAGCGUGAGGGUUACAUGAGCAAAGCAGGAGCCUGACCCGGGUGGGUGAGGCUGCCCACCUGCCCUAGCCCAGGGUUCUCUCUGGCCUCGGCCUCCACCUGGCAGCUGGGCCCUGGGUUUCCAUGGGCCUCAGUUUGCCACCCUGUCCAAUGGGCACGAUGACGAAGCCUCAGGACGGUGUGGCCACACUCAAGUGCACACUCACUCAGUCCCCUCCUGAGGCUCCCACAUCAGCCCCAGAAGUGAGAGGAAUGGGGCACCCCCCGGGGGCGGUGAGGACAGCGAUCGAUCGUGGGAGGCUCUGCCUGGGGCAGGUAGUCCUUCACUGCGGGUGGGACCAGUGCUUAUGAAGAGGGCCCAGCAGUAACCACUGCAGGCCACGUGGCCAGGCUUCUGUCCUACCACGCCACUGGCGUCACGCCAGGAGGUGGCCUUCCUGGAUAGCAUCGGGUGUGGCGCCCUGCUGUGUCUCCGUACAAUGUUAUUUAUGGACGCUGAAACUUGAAUUUCAUCUUUUUCACAAGUAGUGAAACGGGAGAUGGGUAGAGGGCCCUGCCCCCUGACUUGGUGCCCCUGGCCAGGUGCAGUGUGCAGUGCAGGGACUGGGACACCUGUUUGGGCCCACAAGCCGUAUUCCAGGUGAGGAUCAGACAGCAGGUGGCCAGCCCCAGCACAGAGUCUCCUGGGCUGGGGCUAACUGGGUAUGGAGGGGGUGGGCGCUACUCUGCAGUG
RNAcentral lists this long non-coding RNA (1318 nucleotides) under Homo sapiens (human). RNAcentral describes it as "non-protein coding lnc-HES5-3:1". Lineage: Eukaryota; Metazoa; Chordata; Mammalia; Primates; Hominidae. The record is from RNAcentral.